RNAcentral lists this small RNA (65 nucleotides) under Salmonella enterica subsp. enterica serovar Infantis. RNAcentral describes it as "partial RtT sRNA". It matches the Rfam family "RtT RNA", at positions 1 to 64 of the family's 130-position model. Rfam says of the family: This family represents a bacterial cis-regulatory element known as RtT RNA. The exact function of RtT is unknown although it is thought that it may be involved in changing the cellular response in relation to amino acid starvation. The record is from RNAcentral. Lineage: Bacteria; Pseudomonadati; Pseudomonadota; Gammaproteobacteria; Enterobacterales; Enterobacteriaceae. RNAcentral also lists the same sequence under 2 other names.
AUAUCUCUCUGUACGGGAAGGAUGAGAAGCUUCGACUAAGGUUCGAUUCGAGCGAAAGCGAGAAA